CUACGGGAGGCAGCAGUAAGGAAUAUUGGUCAAUGGACGCAAGUCUGAACCAGCCAUGCCGCGUGAAGGAUUAAGGCCCUCUGGGUUGUAAACUUCUUUUAUAGGGGAAGAAAUGUGACGGUUCUCCGUCACUUGACGGUACCCUGGGAAUAAGCACCGGCUAACUCCGUGCCAGCAGCCGCGGUAAUACGGAGGGUGCAAGCGUUAUCCGGAUUCACUGGGUUUAAAGGGUGCGUAGGUGGGCAGAUAAGUCAGUGGUGAAAUCUUCCGGCUUAACCGGGAAACUGCCGUUGAUACUAUUUGUCUUGAAUAUUGCGGAGGUAAGCGGAAUAUGUCAUGUAGCGGUGAAAUGCUUAGAUAUGACAUAGAACACCAAUUGCGAAGGCAGCUUACUACACAAUCAUUGACACUGAGGCACGAAAGCGUGGGUAGCGAACAGGAUUAGAUACCCUGGUAGUCC
This 460-nucleotide ribosomal RNA is filed under the name uncultured bacterium. Its description in RNAcentral is "bacterial SSU rRNA". It matches the Rfam family "Bacterial small subunit ribosomal RNA", at positions 339 to 796 of the family's 1533-position model. The record is from RNAcentral.